GGCGGAUGUAGCCCAGUGGAUCAAGGCAGUG
This 31-nucleotide transfer RNA is filed under the name Polygonatum humile. RNAcentral describes it as "partial tRNA-His". Lineage: Eukaryota; Viridiplantae; Streptophyta; Magnoliopsida; Asparagales; Asparagaceae. The record is from RNAcentral.